Molecule: ribosomal RNA, 120 nt
Filed under: Helianthus annuus (common sunflower)
Lineage: Eukaryota; Viridiplantae; Streptophyta; Magnoliopsida; Asterales; Asteraceae
Source: RNAcentral
GGUUGCUAUCAUACCAGCACUAAUGCACCGGAUCCCAUCAGAACUCCGCAGUUAAGCGUGCUUGGGCGAGAGUAGUACUAGGAUGCGUGACCCCCUGGGAAGUCCUCGUGUUGCAACCCC